CAGAUAUUUAAUCCAAACUCGAUCUCUGUUCUCUUCCUGUUAUGGGAGAAAUCCUCUUCGUUAAGGCCCGAGAAGACGCUAUUAAAAAGAUAGCGGAUGUCAGACAAGUCCUGCUUCCUCAAGGUAAGAAAUCCAGGAGACCUUUUGCAGGAUUAUCAUUCAGAGAUCAGCCUUCCUAUAAAGACAAAGUCUUACAGAACUGGCCGUAAA
This is a non-coding RNA of Pelobates cultripes (western spadefoot toad), 210 nucleotides long. The record is from the annotation of a GenBank genome assembly. NCBI's taxonomy places the organism in Eukaryota, Metazoa, Chordata, Amphibia, Anura, Pelobatidae.